Molecule: ribosomal RNA, 466 nt
Filed under: uncultured bacterium
Lineage: Bacteria
Description: partial 16S ribosomal RNA
Rfam family: Bacterial small subunit ribosomal RNA
Source: RNAcentral
GAUGAACGCUGGCGGCGUGCUUAACACAUGCAAGUCGAACGAUGAAGCCCAGCUUGCUGGGUGGAUUAGUGGCGAACGGGUGAGUAACACGUGAGUAACCUGCCCUUAACUCUGGGAUAAGCCUGGGAAACUGGGUCUAAUACCGGAUAGGAGCGUCCACCGCAUGGUGGGUGUUGGAAAGAUUUAUCGGUUUUGGAUGGACUCGCGGCCUAUCAGCUUGUUGGUGAGGUAAUGGCUCACCAAGGCGACGACGGGUAGCCGGCCUGAGAGGGUGACCGGCCACACUGGGACUGAGACACGGCCCAGACUCCUACGGGAGGCAGCAGUGGGGAAUAUUGCACAAUGGGCGCAAGCCUGAUGCAGCGACGCCGCGUGAGGGAUGACGGCCUUCGGGUUGUAAACCUCUUUCAGUAGGGAAGAAGCGAAAUUGACGGUACCUGCAGAAGAAGCACCGGCUAACUACGUG